Long non-coding RNA from Trematomus bernacchii (emerald rockcod), 429 nucleotides. RefSeq lists it as uncharacterized. The record is from RefSeq and is a predicted model, not a curated record. NCBI's taxonomy places the organism in Eukaryota, Metazoa, Chordata, Actinopteri, Perciformes, Nototheniidae. The transcript is spliced from 3 exons.
AUUUGAAAAAAAGCAGACGGUUCCAACAUGGACCCUCGUCUAAUAUGAAUACUCGUGGAUUUUGAAUCAUUUAGACGGAAGCCGUCCUCCCGCCUGGUGGAGCUUCUGGAAGAGUCUGCAGAGGAGCUGAUUAAAGAGAACCAGAAUGGAGGCAAAGAUAUUGUGGAAAAAGGACUAUGCUGAGUGUCGUGAAGCUCCAUGUCCCCCAUGAAGUGCAGCAAAAGAAGACGCCACACCUCCCAACGUGUCCAUCUCCAUCGAGGGAUCGGCGGUGCUUGAUGAGGGUGAACGCCUGCCUUCUGCUCACGGACAUCAUCCAUGCAAUGAACUUAACUAACACAUCAAAGUUGAAAUACGCUUCUAUCGUUUGCAAAAAUCUUUCUUUAACUUAAAGGUGGGGUAGGUCAUUUUGGAGAAACCAGCUUGAGU